Panicum virgatum (switchgrass) is the source of this 1145-nucleotide long non-coding RNA. RefSeq lists it as uncharacterized. The transcript is spliced from 2 exons. NCBI's taxonomy places the organism in Eukaryota, Viridiplantae, Streptophyta, Magnoliopsida, Poales, Poaceae. The record is from RefSeq and is a predicted model, not a curated record.
AUCCACGUCCUGGCAUAUUAAACCUGGUGUAGGAUACAACCUGGCAUAGAUGACCACCACAAAAAAUGCCAACAAUUAAAGAUUCAGAUCAAAUCUAGUAGAUGGGCAAAAGCAAUUUCUUGCAUAGAAAUCAAUCAUCUAGGAAACAAUAUUGGCAUGCCUCUCCCUCCGUCCUUCGGUCGCUGAUGGUCGACGCUCCCUCCCCGCUCGCCGCUCCCUCCCCGGACGACGAUCCUCUCCGUGACGGGCGGUCCCCGUGCCAUCCCUCUCCCUCCGUCCUUCGGUCGGUGAUCCGUUCCGUGCCGCCGCCGAGCCGCGCCGUGCCCGGACGCACGUCCCCGGCCGCCGGUCCGUCCCCGGCCGCCGAUCUGCGCGCUGUCCCCGGCCCCCGAUCCGCGCGCCGUCCCCGGCGUCGGCGUCGUUGCUGCUCCAUCCCGGUGCCGCAGUUGCCUUGGGAUAGAUUGCAGGACUGAAGCCGCAAGGCUCCGCAUCAUCCACGCAGGGAUGACCUCGCCCCCACAUGUCCUCCUCCCCGGUGCUGCUCUCUGCUUGGCAUGAGAUGCCAACAACCGUGGCCUUAGGAUUUUUGGUGACGCACUGACGUUUGCCUCCAACUCCAAUGAAGCAUUAAGUUCUCCGCUGACCACUGCACACCAGGUGCUUGCGUUUUUGCCAAAACCAUCAUUGAUUUUUUAUUUAGGCUAACCACUAUAAUAUUUUGUAGAAUGGACACUUUAAAUUGGCACGUUAAAUGUGCGGCUAUAUCUACACAAGCUUUGUUAUCCUUGUUCUGCUGCUAUUCUAAAUUAAUUCCAUAUUAUACAUUAUACAGUUCCUUGUGACGUGCUCGGGGGAUGAAGACUUAUCUAUUCUAUAUCACAUUAGAUUACAAUGUCUAUAGUCUCAUUUGGGGGGUCCAAAUCUUGAUAGUAGAAAUUGUGGCUGAUGUGGACUGAUUAUUGAAUACUAGAACAGCAGGAUAGAUCGGCUACUCGCCCUCCCGCAGGAGGCUCUGAGAUGCACUCUUGAUCAAGGUUCAAAAAAUCGCUACGCGCUGUGUGCGCACUCGAGCACGGUAAAAGAGUAAUCGUGAUUAAUCAUUUGUACUACUAUUGCCAAAAAAUAAAAGAAAGAGAUUUUCAAGA